Molecule: long non-coding RNA, 1310 nt
Organism: Poecilia latipinna (sailfin molly)
Lineage: Eukaryota; Metazoa; Chordata; Actinopteri; Cyprinodontiformes; Poeciliidae
Exons: 2
Source: RefSeq, a predicted model, not a curated record
UUUAUAACAGAAUAUUAGAUAACUGAAAUGUUUGUCAAUAGUCUUUACAGUAUAAGCCCCCAAUAUUUUGCUGAGCCACUUAAAUUAAAAAAUUGUGGCAAAGAAAUAUUUAACCUCAGGUUGCACUUAGAUACACUUGGAUACAGCACAGCUACUUUCUUUUGUAAUGAUCUAUUUUGCCUUAACCUCCUUGUGGAGGAUGUCAGUGACAAUCUGCUGGACAUCUGUCAAGCAGUCAUCCUCGUGAUUGUGUUGGCCACAGGAUAUAAUAGUCCUAGUUAUAUAAUUUUUAAUUAGUUUAAUGUGAUAUUCAAAAGUUUUGAUAAAGCCAUAACCUCAGAAUUCACAGAAAUAAUCACUUGACAAAGAUUGUCGCCUGUGAGGAGUUCAUAUAAUCUAUUUGGUUCAGUUUUUAAAGUGAACUACUGAAAUAAAUAGAACGUAAAAUAUGCUCAAAGAUAUUUGCAAAGUGAUCUAAAACUUACUAAGUCACUAAAGGUGAUUCAUUUUUCAAAUGUUCCAUUUAUUCUGCAAGCAUCAGCGUAGCAAAUAAGUGGUUCUGAUGAAUAAAACCAUAGAUUACAAGAAAGCAACACCACAUAAACUUCAGGUUGCCUGACAGGAUUAAUUGCAGAGGAAAGAAGAAAAGCUUCUUUUUUUUUUUUUACUUGAGUGAAAUCAUUACAGUCUUAUCCUUUCAUGAUUGUUUUCUGACUCACUUCGGAAGGCUUUGUAAAAUUUUUAAAGUGGGAAGUUUAAAGGUUGAACUCACAGUUUGGUGAAGAUGUUAACAGCUCAAAGACCUGUGAAGUCUGAGUAUGAACCCUUAAUGUGCUAACAAGGCAGCAGAAAAGCAGAAAAGGCCACAAAAAGUCUGCUUUUCUGCUUGUUAACUUUCAUUUCAAAAGAGAAAAACUUAGCGUGUGAAACUGUUUUUGCUUUCCACUGAAAUUAAUAUUGCACAGCAAUAUGUCAGAUUCAAUCCAAAGAUUUCCAUCAGUAUAUCAUUUUCUUUAAUUCUCUGAUUGAUGAAUUAUCUCAUGACUUUCUCCCGGCACCCUCAGAGGCAUCACAGAGCUCAGGUUUGCAGGUAAAAUUAACAAUUUAAAACCCUGGUUUUCAAUGCCAUGCAAGUAACAAGUGGAGGAGCGUCUGCUUACAGCAUUUGAUGCUCAUCUUGAGUGUCAUUUUUUACCAGGGAGCAGGUCUGGAAUAUUAUUCCCAUUGUUGGAGUUGUAAGUGUGAAUUACAAAUCAUGGCUUUCUACUUAAAGUCGAAAGCAGGUAUUUAAAUAAACACACAAAACUUUA